UCUAAACCGUUAUGCGAAUAAGUUGUCCCUCUUUGGACUAAAGCCAUGGGCUUAGUUACAUGUUUAAUCACUUGCAGGUAUGACGAAUAUAGAGCUAUCCUUGGGGUACACGUCAGGUCUUUGAAGCUUUCCUUUUUUCACAUGGUCGAGUGUUGACGCUUCCAUCGUCCUCCAUACGGUGACUUAACAGGCCCCAAGAUCGCCCCACAUGGACCAUUCACUUUGGGCUGGCAGCCCCUAUUCUAGGACACCCUCAAUUAUCUUGUCACACAAAGCUAGUGAAAGGAAAGCCAAUAAGUUGAAUAUGUGUCUUGCUAAGAUGACUAUACAGAUCCAUCUAUCUUCACCUCAUAUUCUCCCUUUUGGUUUAUUCUAACCAAGGCCUCCCUUUGUCCAUGAUUUCCUUAGAACAUAAAAGCAUUUUGCUUCCAAGUGGGUAUGGCCCAAGGACCACAUGCUCAACUUGAGGUCCACUUAUCACCCACCAUCUUGAUGUUGGCCCAAUGUUCUUACAUGAAUUUUGUAUUGCAUGGCAAUAUCUAACACACAAACUAAUUUACAUGAGCCAUUGUUUAAAAGGAAGAUGCACUGAGCUAGCUUCAACAAGAAAAUGCAUUGAAGUGCAUUCACGCACAUGGUGCUCGAAUAGGCCCUCCCAGUCCCUAUGUUUCUCCAAAUGUAUUUUGGGCUUUAGUUUAUCAAUGCACCUGUAAUUGGAUUAGGGACAUUGCGAUUGAGAUGGGAUUGUUACACACAGCUCACAAAAAUGGCUUUGCAUGAGGGGUGCUUGGCUUACUAUUUUUGAUUUUAGCUAAAAUCCUCUAAAUUAACCUCCGCAAACUAAUACAAGCUUCACCAUAAAAUUGGCUCUAUUGAAU
RNAcentral lists this long non-coding RNA (878 nucleotides) under Hordeum vulgare. Its description in RNAcentral is "long non-coding RNA (HVUL_LNC021264)". Lineage: Eukaryota; Viridiplantae; Streptophyta; Magnoliopsida; Poales; Poaceae. The record is from RNAcentral.